Molecule: ribosomal RNA, 131 nt
Filed under: Castor canadensis (American beaver)
Lineage: Eukaryota; Metazoa; Chordata; Mammalia; Rodentia; Castoridae
Source: RNAcentral
GUCUACGGCCAAACCACCCUAAACAUGCCCAAUCUCAUCUGGUCUCAAAAGCUAAGCAGGGUCAAGCCUGAUUAGUACUUAGAUGGGAGACAAAUAUUCCAAAGAGACUACUCAGAGACAGUUUGGAGACA